AGCAGUAUGGUGUAUCGUGCACACGGGUUCAACUUGUCUGUUGAAUUUAUCAUUAGGCCCGAGGUCCUUGUUCGAACCAAGGUACUGCUG
Molecule: non-coding RNA, 90 nt
Organism: Mycena rosella
Lineage: Eukaryota; Fungi; Basidiomycota; Agaricomycetes; Agaricales; Mycenaceae
Source: the annotation of a GenBank genome assembly